RNAcentral lists this unclassified non-coding RNA (2032 nucleotides) under Hevea brasiliensis (rubber tree). The record is from RNAcentral. Lineage: Eukaryota; Viridiplantae; Streptophyta; Magnoliopsida; Malpighiales; Euphorbiaceae.
AAAAAAGAGAGACGUAGGUCCGGAGAAUGACUUUUUUCUGGAGGAAUAGCGGUACACGGAGCCACGUAGAUCCUCAAACGACACCGGUUUAAAAUGGAUUUAUCUUUUUUAUUUUCAAAUACAUUUAAUAGUCAUUGACCGUUGGAUCAGGCCUAGGGCUGAUCUUGCAAACCUUCCUCGUCGGAGAGCGAGAAGCCCUGAUUUAUCGAUUUGAUUUUCCCGGAAAGACUUCAGUUAUCGAUGUCAAAGAGAAGGAUGCUCGAUUCUGUAUCCAAUUUGUUCUUUUUACUUUUGCCACUUUUCAUCCUUCAAUUUUUGUCUGGAAUUUCAGCAAUCAGGUAAUUAGUGCUCUUAAUUUCUAAUUUAGUUUUCUUGGGCCUUCUGUUAAUUUUUUUUUUCAAGUUCUCUGUGUCCUGUGUUUGGUUACUGAGAAAACAAAGGAAAGUAACUUAAUAAGUUUUGCUCUUAAAAAGAGCAAAAAAUUGUAGACAGACAUUUUAAUGUUUAUUUAAUUGUUUUUCCUUGUAUGGGAGUACUAAUUUCAAAAUUCUGAUUUGGAAAUGCGUUGAGUAGUUCUAACUUUUUCCUUUAUUAUCUUAUUUACUUUCUUUAUUUGGGCCAUUCUGCUUCUUCUGGUAGAAAUUUUGUGGUAUUUCUUGCUAUUGCAUUACAGGAAGGAUAUUGGCUUUCAAGAAAUAAAAAUUUGCAGAAAUACAGUUCAAGGAAGAUUUUUACUAUCUGAUGACAACGGCCAUGUAUGUGAUGCUUUAUCGGUGGAUCCACAGUCCCGCUGCUGUCCUGAGAAAGGAGAGAAAUUCUCUUGUCAUGGAUGCAACCUUCUUUCACAGUGUUGCAAUUCCUAUGAAUUUUGUGUUUCAUGCUGCCUGAAUCCUGCAAGGACACAAGAAGAAGAAGUCAUAAAGUUGAAAAUAGCCAAGCCAUCAACUGCAGCGACUUAUGCAAGCAUUUUUUAUUUCUGUGCUGGGAGGUGCCGUCAUAAUUCUGAGAGUGUGGUAAGUGUUAGUUUUUGUUUCUAUUCUGUUUUCUUGUGGAGUUAAAUUGAUGGAAACAUUGUGUGGAUUGAUGUCUGUUAGAGGUGACAGGAGUAUUUUGUACAGAAUGUUGGCUUUGAGUGAGGGGAUUGCUGGAUGGGAAAAGGUUGUGAUCUAUGUUGUGGAGAUGAAACUUGUUAGCUUACUUAUUGAUGGUAAUGAUGGUAGCCAUAAUUGAUACUAGCUAUGAAAUUAUCAUCAGAGUCAAAUAUGUUAAUGAGAAUUCCGGGCUUAAGAUACAUAUACAAACAACCUCCACCCAGUUGUCUUACAAAAUGCUAGCAUUAACAGAAAUUUUAUGACUUCUUUAUGUGAUUUCAAAUCAUCCAAGUUUGUUAAGAUAUACUAGAUGUCAUGUUGCACCUGAACUAAGUGCGAAUAUUGCAGGUUCACGAAAAUGCCUAUCUUAGUGAUUUCCAUCAUUGCUUUUCCUUGCCAUCAAAUCCUUCAGGUGUGUGGCACUUUUCUUCUUCUUUUCUCCUCCCCCCUGUUGUGUUAUUUUUCAGCUUUAAUCCUUGGCAUAUCUUAGCAUGGGAAUGCUUAACUCGAACAACUUAAAGUUCAAUCAAGUAGAACAUCCUUCUACUUUCUGCAUGCACGUAAGCUUGAUGAACUGACUUUUCUUCCUAUCUUUAAUUCUUUUUUUUUUCGUUUUUUUUCAGAAGUCGGGUGAUGUGUUGGGUGAAGGAGGGGGAUAUUUAGCAGUAUCUAUUUAGGCUGAAUAUAGAAAUAAGCCCUUAAACUAUUUGAAAAAAGCCCAGUGGACUUUUGAUCUUUUAUUUUUGACCCAUUCCACCCCUGAAUUUCUAUUUUACAUCCUUCAAUUUUUAAUUUUUGUAACUAAUAGGCAAAAUUUUUCAAAUUUAUUGAUGAAAAAUACUAAAUACACCACUUUAUAUGUCUUUUUUUCCCCUUUAUAUAUCCUUUUUCCAUGUUAUAAUUGAUUAAACUUGAUGAUUUAUUCAAUUAUUUAUUAUUGA